GAAAUUGUGUCGUAUUCUUUCAAGUUGGAAUUCCAAAACGUGGCUUCUGGGAUUCAAAAUCCCUGGUUUCUGGGAGUUUCCCAUGCUCCACCCAGUUGAGGUCCUUAAAGCCAGCAUGCCCUGAGGAAAUGUUGCCUGCUGGUCCUUACUUGGGUCUUUGGAUCCCAAGUUAGGUGGAGUAUCAGGGCGCAAUGCAAAGGGCUCCAGAUAAAUGAUGAGCCCGGUGAGAUGGUGCUGUCUAAAUGUCGGGACAGAGACUGGUUUAGUUGCUGAGAGACAGGACAUAUUAUUGUGGACAGUGAUGAUGCAGGGAGAGUUUCAUGGAUAUGCUGUACUCCAAAGGCUCCUUAAAAAUGAACAGGAUUUUCUGAAAGAUGCAGAAACGGGGAGGUAGUAAGAAUAUGUGGAACAGCAUGUGCCAUGUGAAUCCACCAAGAAGGGAGAUUUCCCCUGUAACAGUGAGGGGAAGAGUUCAGCUGGAGGGGCAACCCUGUGCUGGGGUUAAGAUGUGACAGGCUUAAAAAGGCAACUGAACCUAAGAAACAUUUUAUGGAUCCGCAGAGAAGAGGAGCUUAAAGCCUCCAAAUGUAAAGUAAUGAUAAAAAUGGAAACAUUAAUGCCUUCAACUUGAGCAGUACCUGUUGUAUAUUUGCAUUAAAAUAUCACACUGCGCCCCCUAAAUAAUACAACUAGUAUUAAUAAACGUUUCAGAGAUGGAAAUGUUAAGUACCCCGAUUUGAGCAUUCUACACUAUAUACAUAUCCAGAGUUAUCACACAGUACACCAUCAAUUUCUUACAAUUAAAGAUUUAAAAAGCAACUGGGUUCAGACCAAGGAGGAUGAUGCCAAAUUUAGCACUGCGGAUCCUUCCCAGAGGCAGCGAGACACUCCUAAAAGCCUUACAUGGAACAACGGGAGCAAUCAGCAAUCGCUUAAGAAAGCAAACAGGUGGCUACUGUUGACAAGAAGUGGAUGAGGCUGGGGUGGGUCGACUUGGAAAGAAAAACAGUAAGUGAUGUUUGGUUAUUGCUUUGGCUUCUUCGGGAGGGAGCCCAGAGGCCUCCCCAUUUUCAGUCGUGUUGGAAGAAGUGUUGUGCAGUCACUAUGCAUCCUGCCCCAGUGCUCCGUUUCUCUCCUGGCUCCUCGGCACAGCGGGCACAUGCAGGUAUGGUGGUCCACAGCUGAUGGCUCCUGC
RNAcentral lists this long non-coding RNA (1195 nucleotides) under Fukomys damarensis (Damara mole-rat). RNAcentral's name for it is "lncRNA (ENSFDAG00000032527.1)". The record is from RNAcentral. Lineage: Eukaryota; Metazoa; Chordata; Mammalia; Rodentia; Bathyergidae.